CUUGGUCAUUUAGAGGAAGUAAAAGUCGUAACAAGGUAUCCUUCCACGGAAGCCUGUGUUCCAGCGACUCUAAAUAACGGAGCAAGUGGCUACUAGUCGCUACAUAAUCGAAUUGCGGGGAUCUCCUAAAGCUUUUAGGCUACUACCCAACCGCUGAAAAGUGGUUGGCACAGUAAGAAUGCCUGAGAUACUACAAUGGACGAUCCGCAGCCCAGCCCCUACCGCCAGAAGGCCACGGGGAAGGUUCACAGACUAAGUGAUUAUGGGUAGGGUCCGCCUACUUAAGAUAUAGUCGGUCGGUCAGCGAGAGCUGACUGCUAGAGACGUUCCGUAGGUGAACCUGCGGAAGGAUCAUUACAGUGUUCGCUGCCCUCACGGGUAGCAAACCUCACCCUUGUGUAUUAUAUCUUUGUUGCUUUGGCACGCCGCCUUCGGGCACUGGCUUCGGCUGGCUCGCGCGUGUCAGAGGACCCCAAACUCUGAAUGUUAGUGUCGUCUGAGUACUAUCUAAUAGUUAAAACUUUCAACAACGGAUCUCUUGGUUCUGGCAUCGAUGAAGAACGCAGCGAAAUGCGAUAAGUAAUGUGAAUUGCAGAAUUCAGUGAAUCAUCGAAUCUUUGAACGCACAUUGCGCCCGGUGGUAUUCCGCCGGGCAUGCCUGUUCGAGCGUCAUUUAAACCAAUCCAGCCUCGUGCUUGGGUCUUGGGCCUUUCGCCUCCGGGCGGGCCUCAAAAUCAGUGGCGGUGCCUCCUGGCUCUAAGCGUAGUAAUACUCCUCGCUAUAGACGUUCGGUGGUGUCCUGCCAGCAACCCCCCCAUUUUCAAAGGUUGACCUCGGAUCAGGUAGGGAUACCCGCUGAACUUAAGCAUAUCAAUAAGCGGAGGA
RNAcentral lists this ribosomal RNA (885 nucleotides) under uncultured Helotiales. RNAcentral describes it as "eukaryotic LSU rRNA". The stretch from base 519 to 672 matches the Rfam family "5.8S ribosomal RNA". The record is from RNAcentral. Lineage: Eukaryota; Fungi; Ascomycota; Leotiomycetes; Helotiales.